AACAGCAGCUGCUGAUGAACAAGAGGUCCAGGAUGAGCCAUGUAACUGAGGUGAUUCACUUGUUCACAACAACACACAGCUGCUGAAAAUACUACAAUCAGAAGACAUCAAAUGAGGUUCUGAGCAUUUUGAUGUAGUUGGAUUGAAAAAUGGAAAAAUACUUUACUGAUUCCCCAAACGACCAGUAAACUCAAAGUUGAAGUUUCCCUUAUUUGUCUAUUGGAAGAAAAACCAGCUCUGAUGACCCUGAUGCACCAACAAUCACAGAUGGCCUUGAGAAAUCGAAAACAAACCAUCCUGCUGAGGAUUCACAACAAUGUGUGAUGAGCCGCUGAAGCAAGACCGCUUCAGGAUGAUGGGUGAACUUCAGACUUCCUCAGCUAUUCUAACCACUUCGUCAAACCAGCAGAGUUCCCGAGCAAAUUAGAGGACACUUCUAACAGAUUUGCUGCUAUCUGGCCCUGAGCACACUGACUGGCCAUGAUACUGCGGCUAUCAGGACCUGAAAAUGGAGGGAUAUUCAGUGAGGCUGAGAACAUCGAAUGAUCAAGACAAAAAAAAAAAAAAAAAGGAAGAUGCUGAGAAAUAUAUCAUGUUUAUCCACUCACAA
Molecule: long non-coding RNA, 610 nt
Organism: Onychostoma macrolepis
Lineage: Eukaryota; Metazoa; Chordata; Actinopteri; Cypriniformes; Cyprinidae
Exons: 5
Source: RefSeq, a predicted model, not a curated record